Molecule: long non-coding RNA, 459 nt
Organism: Dermochelys coriacea (leatherback sea turtle)
Lineage: Eukaryota; Metazoa; Chordata; Testudines; Dermochelyidae
Exons: 2
Source: RefSeq, a predicted model, not a curated record
UGGCUGGUUCUCUUUGGAGACGGGCUGCUCUCUAUUGUUGUGUGCACUCUUCAGUAAAGAGCUUUGUGUUCGGACCUUGCUGGUGUUGCCUGUCUCUCUCCGGUCAGACAACGAACCGUGCCAUCUGGGGUUCGAGUCCUCGACAAUUUGGCGACCACGAAGGGACCUGUCUGACUCUCCGGCACGGGAUCAGACUCUAAAGCAAUGCAGCGCACAUCCUCCGGUUUCAAGGAGCCUUGCCAGUGAUCUGAUCCCUGCGUCGGCGAUAAGGCAUGUUCUGUGAACCAGCAGGAGCCCAUAGAAAUCCAGCAACGUCCACCUACCCUUUGAGUAGGAUCCAGAUCCAGGUCUUCGGGGUUUGAGUCCCUGGAGAGGUGAAAGAAGUCCUACUCCAAGGAUCUUGAGCAAACCUGCGAUUUGUUAAAACCAGGUGACUGGGUCUACAUAAAGGUCCAUCAA